Molecule: ribosomal RNA, 468 nt
Filed under: uncultured bacterium
Lineage: Bacteria
Description: partial 16S ribosomal RNA
Rfam family: Bacterial small subunit ribosomal RNA
Source: RNAcentral
GACGAACGCUGGCGGCGUGCUUAACACAUGCAAGUCGAACGGAAAGGCCCUUCUUUUGUUGGGUGCUCGAGUGGCGAACGGGUGAGUAACACGUGAGUAACCUGCCCUUUACUUUGGUAUAACUUCAGGAAACUGGGGCUAAUACCGGAUAGGAGCUCCUGCUUCAUUGUGGGGGUUGGAAAGUUUCGGCGGUUGGGGAUGUACUCGCGGCUUUUCAGCUUGUUGGUGGGGUAGUGGCUUACCAAGGCUUUGACGGGUAGCCGGCCUGAGAGGGUGACCGGCAACAUUGGGACUGAGAUACGGGCCAGAAGCCGACGGGAGGCAGCAGUGGGGAAUAGUGCAAAAUGGGCGGAAGCCUGAAGCAGCAAAGACGCGUGAGGGAUGAAGGCCUUCGGGUUGUAAACCGCGUUCGCCUGUGACGAAGCGUGAGUGACGGUAAUGGGUAAAGAAGCACCGGCUAACUACGUG